ACGGAAGGCAGCAGUGGGGAAUAUUGCACAAUGGGGGAAACCCUGAUGCAGCGACGCCGCGUGAGUGAAGAAGUAUUUCGGUAUGUAAAGCUCUAUCAGCAGGGAAGAUAAUGACGGUACCUGACUAAGAAGCCCCGGCUAACUACGUGCCAGCAGCCGCGGUAAUACGUAGGGGGCAAGCGUUAUCCGGAUUUACUGGGUGUAAAGGGAGCGUAGGUGGUUUGGCAAGUCUGAUGUGAAAGCCCGGGGCUUAACUCCGGGAUUGCAUUGGAAACUGUCAAACUAGAGUACUGGAGAGGCAAGUGGAAUUCCUAGUGUAGCGGUGAAAUGCGUAGAUAUUAGGAGGAACACCAGUGGCGAAGGCGGCUUGCUGGACAGUUACUGACACUGAGGCUCGAAAGCGUGGGGAGCAAACAGGAUUAGAUACCCUGGUA
Molecule: ribosomal RNA, 434 nt
Filed under: uncultured Acetivibrio sp.
Lineage: Bacteria; Bacillati; Bacillota; Clostridia; Acetivibrionales; Acetivibrionaceae
Description: partial 16S ribosomal RNA
Rfam family: Bacterial small subunit ribosomal RNA
Source: RNAcentral